UCCAGCAAAGGUCAGUAUCCACAA
RNAcentral lists this ribosomal RNA (24 nucleotides) under Alternaria brassicae. RNAcentral's name for it is "partial 28S ribosomal RNA". The record is from RNAcentral. Lineage: Eukaryota; Fungi; Ascomycota; Dothideomycetes; Pleosporales; Pleosporaceae.